GACGAACGCUAGCGGCGUGCCUAAUACAUGCAAGUCGAACGCACUCUCGUUUAGAUUGAAGGAGCUUGCUCCUGAUUGAUAAACAUUUGAGUGAGUGGCGGACGGGUGAGUAACACGUGGGUAACCUGCCCUAAAGUGGGGGAUAACAUUUGGAAACAGAUGCUAAUACCGCAUAAAACCUAACACCGCAUGGUGUAGGGUUGAAAGAUGGUUUCGGCUAUCACUUUAGGAUGGACCCGCGGUGCAUUAGUUAGUUGGUGAGGUAAAGGCUCGCCAAGACCGUGAUGCAUAGCCGACCUGAGAGGGUAAUCGGCCACACUGGGACUGAGACACGGCCCAGACUCCUACGGGAGGCAGCAGUAGGGAAUCUUCCACAAUGGACGAAAGUCUGAU
RNAcentral lists this ribosomal RNA (393 nucleotides) under uncultured bacterium. RNAcentral describes it as "bacterial SSU rRNA". It matches the Rfam family "Bacterial small subunit ribosomal RNA", at positions 28 to 387 of the family's 1533-position model. The record is from RNAcentral.